AAACUUUUUGUAAUUAAAACCAUUAAGAAUCUCACUUGCAAUUACAAAUGAAACCUACUUUGAAGACUAGGCCUUUCUUUUGACAUAAUCUCAUGGGUGCUUGAUAUAUGUUGAUCUCAUUAAUUUUUGUUAUAUACGGAGGCCAGUAUUAUAUUGGAAGAGGUUGGCUGGUGAUUGGUUGCGAUUGGGGGAUGGGCAUAUUUCAACUUUACUGCAUCAUUCGUUUCAAUUACAAAUGAAACCUACUUUUAAGACUAGGCCCUUGUUAUGAUUAAUGAGUGAUUUAUUGAUUUAUUUAUUUAUUUUUUGCUAGAAAACAGGAAAAUAUCUUAUGUGUUUGAUUUUGAUGUUUAUUUAUUUCAAGUUGUUCAUACAGUUGCUGAAUCAUUUUGGCAGGGGUCGUAAGUGGAAUCCUCUUCGACAAAGGCUAGAUAGCUAUGAGUACACCCUCAAGCAACAUAUUGUCGGAUCUCUUAUUUUUACGCCGCUGCUUCUUCUGUUACCAACUUCUGUUUUCUAUAUUUUCUUCACUAUGAUGAACUCAAGCAUCAGCCUUGUUUGCA
RNAcentral lists this long non-coding RNA (563 nucleotides) under Citrus sinensis (sweet orange). RNAcentral describes it as "long non-coding RNA (CSIN_LNC002486)". Lineage: Eukaryota; Viridiplantae; Streptophyta; Magnoliopsida; Sapindales; Rutaceae. The record is from RNAcentral.